Molecule: long non-coding RNA, 212 nt
Filed under: Sorghum bicolor (sorghum)
Lineage: Eukaryota; Viridiplantae; Streptophyta; Magnoliopsida; Poales; Poaceae
Description: long non-coding RNA (SBIC_LNC012117)
Source: RNAcentral
UCCCACAACAACCCUUCAAACUUUCUUGUUUAAAAACCUAUCUAGUAGCAGGGCUAAGCAUCGCUACGCAGUUUUAAAAUAAACAGGUGUCAAGGACAGGAUAACAGAUAUCAAGGUAGUAAAUGCAGCAAGUAGGUUAACCCAAUUCUUAACUACAUAAUGCAGCAUUUUCAAUUUACAAGUGAUAAAAGAUUCAAAACAGUCAAGGAGGG